AAUGAGAAAAUAUUUUAUUAAUGCAAAAUUGGGACAUAGAGUCUGACCAAGGUUUCCUAUGGGAGUUUCAGACAUGGUAAUUAGAAACCAGGAAGACUGAGAAAGAAUCAAAUUUGCAGCAGCUCAGUAAGUGGUAGACUGGGAACAAGAAGCCAGUUUUCUGGGCUCUUGAAGCAAGGCCCUGCCACGUUGUCUUUCCCCAGGAGACGAGGUCAUAAGACAUUCAUUCCAGAGAGAGUCCUGCUCCACCUCCAGGAAGGAAGGAAUGUACACUCAAGAGAGAUCAAGAAGAAUCUAAACAAACACGUUUUCCCACAAGAGAAAAUGAUCUAAUUAACAUUUGAUAAUAACUUUUUGUCCAAUUAUAUUUCUACACUACUGUUCAUACUUUGUUUAACCUAAGCAUAAAAAUUGACAAUUUUUCUUGUAUUUUUGGCUCUUCAUUCUGAAGGCUUCCGUGUAUACAUGUUAAAUAAAUUUGUACACCUUUUCUCCAA
Molecule: long non-coding RNA, 497 nt
Filed under: Pongo abelii (Sumatran orangutan)
Lineage: Eukaryota; Metazoa; Chordata; Mammalia; Primates; Hominidae
Description: lincRNA
Source: RNAcentral